Long non-coding RNA from Pseudophryne corroboree (corroboree frog), 384 nucleotides. RefSeq lists it as uncharacterized. Lineage: Eukaryota; Metazoa; Chordata; Amphibia; Anura; Myobatrachidae. The transcript is spliced from 3 exons. The record is from RefSeq and is a predicted model, not a curated record.
CUGCAGGUCCCUAAUCUAUUGCAGCAAUGAGCUCUGGCAGGGUGACGGCCGUGGCUCUUGUGGUCAGCCUAUGUAUGGUAUAUUACGUCGGCCUCUCAGGCAGCGCUGCCAUUCCUCCAGUGGUCAUCAUAAAUGAUACAGGACUUUGCCCGGACCCCCCAUGUCUGCCAGACUGCGGUUCCUGCGUUCCUACUAGAAAUGCUUUGUGUCCUGCUGUCUGCAUUCCAUCCUUACAAACCUGAUCCUGUAAUCUGGGCUGUUUCCAUAGCAGUCUCAGGCUCCACCUCCCAGGAGAAACUGAAGAACCUGAGUAUUUGUCAUUAUAAAUUCAUGUUGUUUUGUUUUUAUCUAAAUAAAUAAAAUAAAGGGAAUAUAAUAAUGUUA